Molecule: long non-coding RNA, 871 nt
Organism: Nicotiana tabacum (common tobacco)
Lineage: Eukaryota; Viridiplantae; Streptophyta; Magnoliopsida; Solanales; Solanaceae
Source: RefSeq, a predicted model, not a curated record
AGACCCUAAUUUCACUCUCUGCUUAGAGGCAAAAAACCACAACAGAGACGGACGAAAACUCUCCCCCAUUUUCUAAAAACCUAGCGUUGCCAAUCUUUUUCUUCACUCCCGGAUAUUGCAGCUACCCCCAUCUCUGAUUUCAGAGCCCUCACUCUAACAACGAAGAACAGAUCUCCCCCUCUCUUAGAAAACCUAUCUUCCCCUUUACAAAAAAAAAGGACUUAGCAGCCACCCCCACCUCUCGGAUUCUCACGCAAUAGGAGGGACCUCACUCUCAUUUGGAUUCAUGGAUACACACACAUAGAUACACAUAGAAAACUGCGAUUUCGAACAAGAUUUGGGAAGUAAUUGAUUGCUGAAUUUUCAAAGUUCUAAUUCCUUUUCCUUGGAUCUAUAAAAGAUUCACUUUCGUCUUAAGCUAGUGUAAGCUGUGAUUUUGCUGUUUCUGCCGUAAUAAGUUGCUCAGCUUCAUCUUCAUUUUUCUGGCCUUUAUUUGAUCCAAAUCGCUUAUCCUUGUCCUUUUUGAGAUGAUCGCGGAACAGGAAUGCAGACCAACUGUUUGAUCAUGUCUAGGCAAGCUUAUAUUUAGGAGCAGUAGUAAAUAGGGAGUAUUGUUAGUAUCCAAGUUGCUCGUGCUUAAUAUUGAAAUGAGUGGCAAUGUUACAUUUGUAUAUACAGAUCCUUCCUUAUAUAUCCACUAUGUGAUAUGAUUGAGUGUCCUCAAGUUUCUCUGAAAUUGAAAUGUAUCCUUGAAUGCGUUGAUUCGCUUUGUUAUACCUGUGCUUGUUCACAUUGCUGUAGAUUAAUAUAGAAAAUAUGGAUAAAUGGGAUGAUUUAUUAGUGAAUAUGAGGUUGGUGUUAUCUUGUGCAA